Molecule: transfer RNA, 63 nt
Filed under: Rugitermes flavicinctus
Lineage: Eukaryota; Metazoa; Arthropoda; Insecta; Blattodea; Kalotermitidae
Description: tRNA-Asp
Source: RNAcentral
AAGGAGUUAGUUAAUUAAUAACAUUGAUAUGUCAAAUCAAAGUAGUUGUCUAAACACCCCUUU